This 76-nucleotide transfer RNA is filed under the name Pelagibacteraceae bacterium TMED287. Its description in RNAcentral is "tRNA-Ala". It matches the Rfam family "tRNA". From Rfam's summary of the family: Transfer RNA (tRNA) molecules are approximately 80 nucleotides in length. Their secondary structure includes four short double-helical elements and three loops (D, anti-codon, and T loops). Further hydrogen bonds mediate the characteristic L-shaped molecular structure. tRNAs have two regions of fundamental functional importance: the anti-codon, which is responsible for specific mRNA codon recognition, and the 3' end, to which the tRNAs corresponding amino acid is attached (by aminoacyl-tRNA synthetases). tRNAs cope with the degeneracy of the genetic code in two manners: having more than one tRNA (with a specific anti-codon) for a particular amino acid; and 'wobble' base-pairing, i.e. permitting non-standard base-pairing at the 3rd anti-codon position. The record is from RNAcentral. Lineage: Bacteria; Pseudomonadati; Pseudomonadota; Alphaproteobacteria; Candidatus Pelagibacterales; Candidatus Pelagibacteraceae.
GGGGCUGUAGUUCAGUUGGGAGAACGCUUCCCUUGCACGGAAGAGGUCGCAGGUUCGACUCCUGUCAGCUCCACUA